Molecule: ribosomal RNA, 58 nt
Filed under: Bacillus sp. SPRY19F
Lineage: Bacteria; Bacillati; Bacillota; Bacilli; Caryophanales; Bacillaceae
Description: partial 23S ribosomal RNA
Source: RNAcentral
GUUAAAUUAAAAAGGGCGCACGGGGGAUGCCUUGGCACUAAAAACCGAUGAAGGACGG